Molecule: long non-coding RNA, 350 nt
Organism: Lampris incognitus (smalleye Pacific opah)
Lineage: Eukaryota; Metazoa; Chordata; Actinopteri; Lampriformes; Lampridae
Exons: 3
Source: RefSeq, a predicted model, not a curated record
AACUGGAGCACCUGGAGGAAACCCACGCAGACACGGGGAGAACAUGCAAACUCCACACAGAGGACGACUCUGGAUGACCCCCAAGUUUUACAUCACUCAGCUUUGCUGCUCCAUUUCCACAAAUACACUGGGGACUACUUUGGAUUGGAUUCAGACAGGACAUCAGGAAUAUUAGCAGAAAAUGCAGAAGACAACAUUCAGACAUCACUACUGAGAAUCCUUCCUCUAACUGCUAUGAAGAGGAUCACAGUCUCCUGGCUGAGGCCGCAGCCCCGCGGUAACACAACGGAGGGAGAAGGUUAAGGAUGUUUACUACGUGGAAAACAUAACUACAAGCUUACAAUUAAAAA